CCUACGGGUGGCUGCAGCAAGGAAUUUUCCGCAAUGGGGGAAACCCUGACGGAGCAACGCCGCGUGCGGGAUGACGCUUUUCGGAGUGUAAACCGCUUUUCUCAGGGAAGAUGAAGGACGGUACCUGAGGAAGAAGGCCCGGCUAACUACGUGCCAGCAGCCGCGGUAAUACGUAGGGGCCGAGCGUUGUCCGGAGUUAUUGGGCGUAAAGCGCGCGCAGGCGGCUUGUUGCGUCCGACGUGAAAGCCCCCGGCUUAGCCGGGGAGGGUCGUCGGGUACGGACAGGCGUGAGGGCGGGAGAGGGUGGUGGAAUUCCCGGUGUAGUGGUGAAAUGCGUAGAGAUCGGGAGGAACACCUGUGGCGAAGGCGGCCACCUGGGCCGACCCUGACGCUGAGGCGCGAAGGCGUGGGGAGCGAACGGGAUUAGAUACCCGAGUAGUC
This 441-nucleotide ribosomal RNA is filed under the name uncultured bacterium. Its description in RNAcentral is "partial 16S ribosomal RNA". It matches the Rfam family "Bacterial small subunit ribosomal RNA", at positions 338 to 795 of the family's 1533-position model. The record is from RNAcentral.